CCGGUCUGGAUGCUUGAACCAAAGGGACAUUUCUCUGUAAAAACUGCAUGGGAUUACUUGAGAAGAAGAGAAAAUCCAAGGAUAGCUUACAUGAUGAUAUGGGUCAAAGGCCUACCUUUCAAGAUAUCUUUCUUUUUGUGGAAGGUGUGGAAAGCAAAAUUGACACUUGAUGAUUUCUUGCGUAGAACAGGAUACUCAAUCGCUUCUAAAUGUUGGUGUUAUACUGAUUCUAAGGAGGAGUCUCUAGCUCAUCUAUUCUUCACAUCCAAUGCAGCUUCGACUGUAUGGAGGUACUUCCUAACGAGAGCAGGAAUUCAUUCAGAAGGGUUGUCUUUACAUCAAGCAAUUACAAAAUGCUGGACGGCUCCAGUUGUACCUAGACUGAAGUCAAUCUUUCAAGCUUUACCUGCAUGCAUUGUAUGGGAGUUAUGGAAGAGAAGAAACAGUUUGAAAUACGGCGAAGCAGUGUCAGUAAGUAAGUUAUCUACGGACGGCUCCAGUUGUACCUAGACUGAAGUCAAUCUUUCAAGCUUUACCUGCAUGCAUUGUAUGGGAGUUAAGGAAGAGAAGAAACAGUUUGAAAUACGGUGAAGCAGUGUCAGUAAGUAAGUUAUCUACCUAAUUUCAUCAACGCUACAAUCACUAGUACAACUGAAAAAACCAGGACUUCAUAAACCUCACAAGUGGAUUGAUCUUCUAACUACGCUGGACCAAUAUUCACCAUGUCUGAAGUUCGAUAAAGUGCUAUGGGAAUUCCCACCAAGAGGUUGGAUAAAAGUGAAUACUGAUGGAGCAUGUAGAGGGAUUCGAGGGAGAAGCUCAAUUGGGUUUUGUUUAAGAGAUGAGAGAGGCGACUUGAUAUAUGCAGAAGGAAGAGAAAUUAUAAAUGGGUUUUGUUUAAGAGAUGAGAGAGGCUACUUGAUAUAUGCAGAAGAAAGAGAAAUUAAGGAGGGCUCUAAUAAUGAAGCGGAGGCAACAGCAGUAGUGAAGGCAUUGAGAAUUUGCAAUUCAAUGAAUUAUAAAAAUGUUUGGCUUCAGACAGACUCAAUGAUGCUUCAAAAAAUAAUAGAUGGACAAUGGAAACCGCCAUGGAAUAUUAUGGACGCGGUGGAGAAAAUUAACAUCCUCAAAGAGGGGUGUAACUUCAAAGUAUCUCAUAUUUUCAGGGAGGGAAACAAUCUAGCAGACCACCUUGCAAACCAAGUUCUAGACACUGACAACAUCGUGUGUUUCAAAUUUUCGAAACUUGAUAUCUUGAGCAGAAAGAUCGUAAAUGAUGAUAAGCUUCAAUGUGCAAAACUGAGAAUAAGAGUGGCAAGAAACUAGGGAAGGAAACUGA
Molecule: long non-coding RNA, 1339 nt
Filed under: Nicotiana benthamiana
Lineage: Eukaryota; Viridiplantae; Streptophyta; Magnoliopsida; Solanales; Solanaceae
Description: long non-coding RNA (NBEN_LNC012103)
Source: RNAcentral